RNAcentral lists this ribosomal RNA (499 nucleotides) under uncultured bacterium. Its description in RNAcentral is "partial 16S ribosomal RNA". It matches the Rfam family "Bacterial small subunit ribosomal RNA", at positions 28 to 507 of the family's 1533-position model. The record is from RNAcentral.
GAUGAACGCUGGCGGCGUGCCUAAUACAUGCAAGUCGAGCGAACAGACGAGAGUGCUUGCACUCUCUGACGUUAGCGGCGGACGGGUGAGUAACACGUAGGUAACCUACCUAUAAGACUGGGAUAACUUCGGGAAACCGGAGCUAAUACCGGAUAAUAUUUAGCUUCGCAUGAAGCAAUAGUGAAAGACGGUUCUGCUGUCACUUAUAGAUGGACCCGCGGUGUAUUAGCUAGUUGGUGAGGUAACGGCUCACCAAGGCAACGAUACAUAGCCGACCUGAGAGGGUGAUCGGCCACACUGGGACUGAGACACGGCCCAGACUCCUACGGGAGGCAGCAGUAGGGAAUCUUCCGCAAUGGACGAAAGUCUGACGGAGCAAUGCCGCGUGAGUGAAGAAGGUUUUCGGAUCGUAAAACUCUGUUGUAAGGGAAGAACAAGUACGUUAGUAACUGAACGUACCUUGACGGUACCUUACCAGAAAGCCACGGCUAACUACGUG